Molecule: long non-coding RNA, 1770 nt
Organism: Chrysemys picta bellii (western painted turtle)
Lineage: Eukaryota; Metazoa; Chordata; Testudines; Emydidae
Source: Ensembl
CCACUCAAACACACUAUUUUUGUUUCUGAGGCCACAAGUCCAAGUCCAAACCAAAUUGCUUGCAGACUAUGCUUUGAUUCAGGAGAAAGAAGAACAGUAUGCUGCUGGCUCAUAAAGCUAGCCAGCGAGCACAACUCUUCUCCGCUUGCAAAGAUUCUGGUUUAUCUUAGCCCGGACCUCCCUUUCGUCCUCUGGCACAAUUUCAGUGACGUUAUCAAGCAAGCACUGUUUGAUCUUUGCACAUUUCCAGGAAUAGCUGCCUUGUUUCUCCUGCUGUGAUAAAACAACUUCCAAUGCCACUCUGCAGUGAGCCCUGAGGGCACCAUUACUGUGAAGAAGUCAGGAGCAUAUGGCCUGGGUGACCUUGAGCCAUCUCAAGCAGAGACAAGUCUGUGCCUGCUGAUAGUGGGUGGGGAGGGAGUGAGGGCUGGAGGCUUCAGCAGUGUUACUGAGCAUGCUCAGUCCAUGUGUGAACGCUCACUACAGGCCAAGCAGCAAACCGGGGAAGGGGGAGAUGUGACCCUGCAUUGCCCUCCAGGCAUCACCUGUGAUCUCAAGCAUCUGCCUUCUCUGGGCCUUUGAUAGAUUGCCUCAGGAACGAUAGAUCUACCUUGAUCACCACUGCUUGUAAUAAUUUUAGCAGUGUUCACUAUAUCCCUUGUUACAUGGGCUCCUUGAUGCUAUUCAACCCUGCCAUCCCCCAUAGCUACCAGGUUUGAAAAUUGUCCCCAUAGACUCACUGUGCUGUGUGCUGACAGAUGGCCCAGAAGCAAGCAUUUUGGCCUCAGUUGGGGUAUCCACACUCCUCCACACUUGCUAAAAGACUGACCUGGAUACAGAUGAAUAAGAAACAAACAAGGGAAAAUACAUUCUCUGCAACGUUGCCCCUUCCACUCAAUACAGGUAGAAAAUAAGGAGAACUCUUAUGGCUACACCUACACUGACCUGUAAAUUAUCCCUCUGCAUUUUGCACUUUUUCAGUGUUUUUAAUCUUUAUUUAAUAUUGUGUUCGUUGUUUAUUACUGCACACUAAAGCGUGAAAAACAUUGUGACAUGCUGUAUUUCAAAAUAGCACCGCCAUAUUCAGCACUAAUAUGAUUAUGAUAUGUUUUGUACAAAGUAUGCCUUGUGAGGCAUCAUGUAAAAAGUCUUGAUCUGCUGAACAUUAAUAAUCUGUUGAAUUGUAUGUGCUGUCAUUGUAUGUGAAGUUAUGAAGUAUUGCUACAUGUUUGCUACUGAAAUAUACAGUAAGUGGGAAACGGCUUCAGCUGGUCUUUCAAUGGCAACAAAGGACCAACUGACAAGAUAGAUUUAUAUCAGCCAGACAUGUGUUGGUGGUCCAUCAAGAAGACUACUCACAGAGGGCACAUACAUAAUUGAGGCUACCUAACCCCCAGGUCACAGCAAUGAGGGUUGAUGGCAUCAUCACUUGGCCUCUCUCCUCCCCCAUCUCAACACCUGGAAGAUCAUCUGGAAGACACAGACUUUGAAUUUGGGAGAUUGGUCCUAGGCUGAAAGGGAAUUCAGCCUCUAUAUUAAGAACUGUAACCUGCCUGGAACAUCCAUUGGGGUGAGAAAAGCAGUUUGAUUCAAAUCUUACUUAGUCUGUUAAAGUUAGAAUUUAGACUAAAGGUCUAUUUUUUAUUUCUUAUGUAACCGAUAUUGACCUCUGUGACUAACACUUAUAAAUCGAUCUUUCUGUAGUUAAGUAAACUUACUUUAAUGGUUUAGCCUUACCAGUGAGUUUGUCUAAAGUGCUUGUGGAAUCUG